This 426-nucleotide long non-coding RNA is filed under the name Hordeum vulgare. RNAcentral's name for it is "long non-coding RNA (HVUL_LNC019692)". The record is from RNAcentral. Lineage: Eukaryota; Viridiplantae; Streptophyta; Magnoliopsida; Poales; Poaceae.
UGGCUUUGUGUCGACGUGAAAACUCUGAGGGGUGGAGGAGGUUGAUCAUUUUGUGAGCUGGCAUGAGUGCCGGCCGCUGGUGUUCUCUCUGGCCGGCAUGAAUUAUGGUUGCUGGCAUGAACUACGGCCUGAGUGCGAAAAUUUCAGUUCUCUAUGCCUUUGCAAAAAAAUUCAGGCGCCCGACAAAAUGUGUUCAUUGGACACACGGCUAGCAUGAACAUAUAAUGAGCCGGAUGCCGUCCUUUUGCCCGCCUCAAACUGAUAAAUUCCAAACAAAACGGACAUUCAUUUGGGGUUAUGCAUAGAAGUUGGCCUAAAGAUCUAACGACCGAAGACAAGUUGACCAAAUUUACCUGGUCACUGCUUAGUCAGAGCGAUAACAUUUUUGUGGGGGAGAUUGAUGACCUAAAUAAUAAGCACCCAAAU